Molecule: long non-coding RNA, 1002 nt
Organism: Zingiber officinale
Lineage: Eukaryota; Viridiplantae; Streptophyta; Magnoliopsida; Zingiberales; Zingiberaceae
Exons: 3
Source: RefSeq, a predicted model, not a curated record
CCGGAUGGGGUAUCAGUCAUCAUAAGGGUGCGAGUAUUAAAAGUUUUAUGCAUAACAUCAACCAGUCCUUUCCACUGAGUGCUAAGCUUUCAAGUAUAAAAAUGGACCAACAAUUGGCGUGGCAAGCCAAACUAUAAUAGUUGAAACAGUUGAAAACUAGCUUGUGAUCUUCUAAGAGGUAAUGAUGCAUGCCUACGGCUCUGCAAAGACAAAUAUGGACAAAUGUGGUAGUAUCAAAGAACUGCCUAUCAAUUGGAAGGUCUCUUUUAGACAUAGCAAAAGAUGGAGUUUAUUAACGAACUGAUAGAGGAGACUAAGUAUGAGAUAUUAUGAUUGGUUUUCUGAUGAACAUGCUGUUCAUUUGGAUCCCUGGUUUGAAACCAAGGAGCAGGGAGGACUAUGCUUUGUUAUUAAUUUACAAAAGAUCAACACUAGUGAAACAUUUCAUCGGGGGAACAACAUGUGGACAACUAUGACAUGACACCACGGUGAUACUACCUAUUGAUGACACAUGAGGGUUCCCAAGAUAGUGUCAAUGUGGGUCAAAACUUCAGUAAGGUUUUGGCAAGGCUUCCAAAGACAGUACCAAUGGAGCAAGGCUUCGUUGAGGCUCCAGAAGAUAAUACUGAUGCAGUAAGGCUUUGGUGAGGAAAUCCUGACAAUGGCACAGCUUUUGCAAGGCUUUGCAAGCCUUCCUGAAACAGACCUAAUGUGGUAAUGGUUGGCAAGGGUUGUACUCAGCAAAAUCAUUGGCACCAUCGCUCAGCACAGUCAGCAUGCCUCGUUCUGGGCAAGGAUAGAAAUCCCACUUGGAACAAAGAUUUCAAACCUUUUAUUGGAAUUCUAGUUGUGUCCAUUCAAAUAUUAAUUUAGGUACUUUUACCUAUAUGGAUUAUUCCACAUGCAUGACUUGUUUCUUUAUAGUGAAAGACCAGUUUGAAAGUCUGAAGUUUUUUAUUCUCUUCACAUAAUUUGGACCUGCUAUUCGUGGAUUGAGAAAUG